GAUGAACGCUAGCUACAGGCUUAACACAUGCAAGUCGAGGGGAAACGACAUCGAAAGCUUGCUUUUGAUGGGCGUCGACCGGCGCACGGGUGAGUAACGCGUAUCCAACCUGCCCAUCACUUGGGGAUAACCUUGCGAAAGUAAGACUAAUACCCAAUGAUAUCUCUAGAAGACAUCUGAAAGAGAUUAAAGAUUUAUCGGUGAUGGAUGGGGAUGCGUCUGAUUAGCUUGUUGGCGGGGUAACGGCCCACCAAGGCAACGAUCAGUAGGGGUUCUGAGAGGAAGGUCCCCCACAUUGGAACUGAGACACGGUCCAAACUCCUACGGGAGGAAGCAGUGAGGAAUAUGGGUCAAGGGGCGAGAGCCUGAACCAGCCAAGUAGCGUGCAGGAAGACGGCCCUAUGGGUUGUAAACUGCUUUUAUAAGGGAAUAAAGUGAGAGUCGUGACUCUUUUUGUAUGUACCUUAUGAAUAAGGACCGGCUAAUUCCGUG
This 492-nucleotide ribosomal RNA is filed under the name uncultured bacterium. RNAcentral's name for it is "partial 16S ribosomal RNA". It matches the Rfam family "Bacterial small subunit ribosomal RNA", at positions 28 to 507 of the family's 1533-position model. The record is from RNAcentral.